UUUGACAUGUCUUUAUUCUUUCUGAACUUUUUUGAGGGUAAUGUUUACUGUUAUUUUUUGUUUAUUAUCUAUUUCACUUGCUUGUGCAAUUUAAACAUAUGUUUCCCAUGCCAAUAAAGCCCCUUAAAUUGAAAUUCAAUUGGAAGCGAGGUACUACACUCGCUGUUUUCCCCCAGCUUUUUUCUAGUUUAAUGAACGUCAACUAACUAUGUAGACCAGACCCAGCUGCUAUUGCAUUGAUGUCUAAGGGAGACACACCCAGUUAAGUAGACUGAAACUGUCAACGCUAAAAGGCCUGCGUGAACUCUCUUAAAUUUAUCCACCAUCUUUGGUGGAUGUCUUAAACAAGUCUGCUAACGUUACUAGCUAGCGGUCACUCUACUGUGUGACUAACUAAUACUGUAACUAGCUACAUUUUUUGAAACUAUUAUCUAACUGUGUCGGAGUUGAGAAACUAAUAGUACACCCAACAAUUUCAAAGAAGCUAACGGUAGCUAGCUAAGGUAUAGAGAUAAGUAUUUAGUAAUAGUAAGUUAGCUACCGUACCAUACUCAGAAGAUAGCUAACGUUAGCUAGCUCGCGUUAAGAUAGCUAGAAACAAGACGAGGAAGCGCUAGCUAACAUAGCAUAGAUAGCUAUCAAGCAGCCUGGGUUUGAAUUAAAUGCUCCCCAGAAUAGCUGGUAUAUAGGCUAAUGAUAAAUUGCAAGCCAUCUAGUUACCUUUACCUAGGUGCGCUAAUAGCUAAUUCCUUGAUUAAAGUAAGUUAACUAGAUAAUUUCACUAACUGAGACAGGAAGGAAGACAUUCACAGGUAAAUUAGGAAACAUGGACAAUACAUCAAGUGGACCCAGUAAGGGUGGAGCAUCGCCUGAAUAUCCAAACACUGAGUUCGGCGUAAAUUGUUUCUCAACGUGAUAUGGAAAGACUGCAAUUCAAUUCGACCUAUGGCCAUGAGCAUCAGCUGACUAUUUUCUGUGUGUUUUUCUCUCCUCACGCAGUGGCUGGGAUGAGCCCCCUCUCACCGUAUCUUAAUGUGGAUCCAAUAUAUUUUACACAUGCUCCUAAAUCUGGUAACCCUCCAAGGAGCGACAUGGGCAAACACACUUGGCUCACUGGCUUUGAUGUACAGUGCGUUUGGGGGUGGCCAUCGAGAAGGCACGGUUAGCAGAGGAUGACAUCAACACUGUUGCUGCUGGGAUUAUGACAGGCAUGCUGUACACAGGCUGGUAGAGAUUCCACCUAAAACUCCACCCAGAUGUCUGCAUGUGAUUGAAAGAGGUUGUUGCAGACACCACUUCCUGGUUAGACUGAUGACGGUUUUUGUUAUCAUCUAGACAGGACAACCCUCUGCUGCCUACAUUUCCCAGCAUGCGUCGCUCCAAAUUCACAAGGGGAAGUUUUUUGAAAGCUCGCACAGGACUACACUGCUAUAUCACUGGGAGGGAGGGGCGUGGGUACAACAUCAGCCAAAGGGGUUUAAGGACACCCAACUAAAUAUACAACCGUGGGAUCAACAACAGGUUUCAGCUUUAGAGUUCAUGUACUGUUAAGGUUGUCACAUGAACACUACUCCUCUGUCCGAGUUGACCACCGUGGGUUUUCUUUGCCAGACAACUAUUAUUUCUGGUCUGAACAUGCUUGAAACUCAUCAAACAGACAUGCUGUCUGUCACAUUUUAAACGUUAGACUUGCAUGUAGUCUCUGUAAAAUCUUUCCCUUUCUGACUUUUUAUGGUACAAAACAAAGUCUAGUUAUGAAUGACUCUUGUUUAUACUCUCUCCAUCUGUGUUAAAGCCCUGCUGUAAUAAAAACAUAAAAAAAGUGGUUUAAUCACAUUGAA
This is a long non-coding RNA of Oncorhynchus kisutch (coho salmon), 1841 nucleotides long. RefSeq lists it as uncharacterized. Lineage: Eukaryota; Metazoa; Chordata; Actinopteri; Salmoniformes; Salmonidae. The record is from RefSeq and is a predicted model, not a curated record. The transcript is spliced from 4 exons.